UGAGGAAUAUUGGACAAUGGGCGCAAGCCUGAUCCAGCCAUGCCGCGUGCAGGAAGAAGCAUCUAUGGUGUGUAAACUGCUUUUGUACGGGAAGAAACACUCCUACGUGUAGGAGCUUGACGGUACCGUAAGAAUAAGGAUCGGCUAACUCCGUGCCAGCAGCCGCGGUAAUACGGAGGAUCCAAGCGUUAUCCGGAAUCAUUGGGUUUAAAGGGUCCGUAGGCGGUUUAAUAAGUCAGUGGUGAAAGCCCAUCGCUCAACGAUGGAACGGCCAUUGAUACUGCUAGACUUGAAUUACAAGGAAGUAACUAGAAUAUGUAGUGUAGCGGUGAAAUGCUUAGAUAUUACAUGGAAUACCAAUUGCGAAGGCAGGUUACUACUUGUGGAUUGACUCUGAUGGACGAAAGCGUGGGGAGCGAACA
This 422-nucleotide ribosomal RNA is filed under the name uncultured bacterium. RNAcentral's name for it is "bacterial SSU rRNA". It matches the Rfam family "Bacterial small subunit ribosomal RNA", at positions 355 to 774 of the family's 1533-position model. The record is from RNAcentral.